Molecule: ribosomal RNA, 236 nt
Filed under: uncultured bacterium
Lineage: Bacteria
Description: partial 16S ribosomal RNA
Rfam family: Bacterial small subunit ribosomal RNA
Source: RNAcentral
UGAGCAAUCUGCCCUUCUCAUCGGAAUAAGCGUUGGAAACGACGUCUAAUGCCGAAUACGACCUCCUUUCACAUUGAUCGGAGGUGGAAAGCUCCGGCGGAGAAGGAUGAGCUCGCGGCCUAUCAGCUAGUUGGUGUGGGUAACGGCCCACCAAGGCGACGACGGGUAGCCGGCCUGAGAGGGUGACCGGCCACACUGGGACUGAGACACGGCCCAGACUCCUACGGGAGGNAGCG